CCUACGGGGGGCUGCAGUGGGGAAUAUUGGACAAUGGGGGGAACCCUGAUCCAGCCAUGCCGCGUGUGUGAAGAAGGCCCUCGGGUUGUAAAGCACUUUCAGUGAGGAAGAACGCCUGGUGGUUAAUACCCAUCAGGAAAGACAUCACUCACAGAAGAAGCACCGGCUAACUCCGUGCCAGCAGCCGCGGUAAUACGGAGGGUGCGAGCGUUAAUCGGAAUUACUGGGCGUAAAGCGCGCGUAGGUGGCUUGAUAAGCCGGUUGUGAAAGCCCCGGGCUCAACCUGGGAACGGCAUCCGGAACUGUCAAGCUAGAGUGCAGGAGAGGAAGGUAGAAUUCCCGGUGUAGCGGUGAAAUGCGUAGAGAUCGGGAGGAAUACCAGUGGCGAAGGCGGCCUUCUGGACUGACACUGACACUAAGGUGCGAAAGCGUGGGUAGCAAACAGGAUUAGAUACCCGUGUAGUC
RNAcentral lists this ribosomal RNA (465 nucleotides) under Vreelandella stevensii. RNAcentral describes it as "partial 16S ribosomal RNA". It matches the Rfam family "Bacterial small subunit ribosomal RNA", at positions 338 to 795 of the family's 1533-position model. Lineage: Bacteria; Pseudomonadati; Pseudomonadota; Gammaproteobacteria; Oceanospirillales; Halomonadaceae. The record is from RNAcentral.